CAAGCCGCAAGUUUUCGAAGGGCCCGUUCCGGCUUAGACAGUGGAGUAGUUAUAUCAGUCGCGGGAGGCCGCGGUGAUUUGGGAUAUCAGCAGUCGGGAUUCUCUAGGGUCGGUGAGGGGAAGUCCGCUGGGAUCAGCGAUGCAGAGCUUCCGAGCUGGGUGUGAGCUGAGGGCGGGCCGGCGUAGUGCGGGUGGCGUGGCCGGCCGAGUGGCGGGCUGUGAGUGACGGCCCUGCAGGGCGGACGUAGUUUCCCAGUUAGGCUGUCGACUGGUUCGGUAGUUUUCACUUUCCUUGCCUGUGUUCCUUAUGUGUAUACAUAUCUUAUUCGUAGCUUAGCUUCCAAGUACGCUUUGGUGUCGGAUUUCACACUGUUGGCCGUUGAAACGCGUUCGAGGACUGCGCGUGCGACUUCAGAGCGCCUUAGUGGGUGGCACCGGAGGACAGUGGGGAGGGAGUCGCCGGUUGGGACCCGGGGCAGCCAGUGGUGGGUUGGGGGCCGGGUGCUUCAGGGGCGUGCCUCCUCGCACACUCAGGGAACCAGUGAUCGGCCACCCUUACGAGUUAGUAUACUGAGCCAGCUGCUGGAAGCCUGGAGGACGGCUGAUGGGCGUUGGUGAGGGCGACUGCGUUGCCUUCUGGGCAGCGAGCUUUGGGGUCUUUUGGAGAUGGAUGGGUGGGUAAGUGCUGGUGUCUCCGCCAGACCCUGUGGAUAUGGCAAGGUCAGUGACUGGUAGUUGGCAAUAUCUUUCUCUUCUCACAGUUGAAAGGUGGCACAGCUACAAGAAUCCUUCAAGUUUAGUUUUGUCUCAUUAUUUUUUCCCUAACCCUAAUAACUACAGUGUCUACACAGUAACCCUCACCUUGGGGCCCUCAGAUUCAUGUGGGGCAACCGUUGCAUGAGUGACCACACAGUCAUUGCCUUUCCAGGGUUUCCUGGUGUCUGUGGAGCCUUUGGGUCAGGCUAUUUCAGACUACAGGAUUUCUCUUCACUGUUCAGCCUGCCUUUCCCCAGUGGCUCUGCUUUGAGCCUCUACUUUCCACCCAACUUCCAGCUCCAGAGGAAAGUGGAGCUGCUAGCAAGAGAAACCAAUAGGAGAAGUCCAGGCAGGACAUGCCAGUUGAUGUGCAUUUAUCCCAGGAGCCCCAGGCCCUGGGUCCAGAGGAGCAGGACAGAUUUUGUGAGGUUAUAGUUCACCCUUUUGUGGAGUACAUCCUGUAGGAACUCCUCGGAAAUGUGUACAUGGCAGAAGAAUUUGGGCUUGAUAUCCUACAACAGGAAGUUUCUGAGAAAGCUUCAUUUCAAAAUGAGAUGGUGAGUGAAAUCACAAGAGAUGGUUUGUGGCAUUCCAUUUUAGAACUAUGGCAGGAUGCUGGCCUUACAAAGAGAGAUCGGCAAACCCAGAUCCAGUACCUGAGCCCUUGUGCUUCCAUCAGCAAGAAGACAUUGAGCAUAGAGAGCAGUUGUGUUCAUAAGGACCCAGGGAAUAGCAUUCCCCUGAGGGUCCUUGCUUCACACAAGAGACCUCUUAAAUGGUGCUCAUUUGCAAAACCUUUGAAACCUAACCUAGAAGCAAAUGGUCAAAAUCAAAGCAGCCUCACAAAACUGCUUGAUGACAUCAUUGGCUCUGGUCAGCUGC
Sciurus carolinensis (gray squirrel) is the source of this 1638-nucleotide long non-coding RNA. RefSeq lists it as uncharacterized. Lineage: Eukaryota; Metazoa; Chordata; Mammalia; Rodentia; Sciuridae. The transcript has 3 exons. The record is from RefSeq and is a predicted model, not a curated record.